GUUUACUUGCAAGAGAAAAAUCCCUCCAACAAGCUCAAAUAAAAUAAAAUAAAAUAAAAAAAACAAUAGCUCCCUCAUGAGCCCCUAAGAUACAAUAUGAAAGUUAUGUGUAUAAGUCAGUGUGUGUUUUAGUAUCAUCCUCAGGAAAUAUGGGUUUAAAAUACAGUUUUCUGCUUUGUUCCAUUCACACUUAUAGCCUUCAAACAUUUUUUUUUUUUUUUUUACCAGGAUACACAUAUUUGCAUUUACCAUGACGUAACAAUGGAAUUGGUGCAGUUGUGUUUCAAAUGCUAGUGUGUUAGUACUAAAUAAUGCGUUUUGUAAACUAGAGGUGUGCAUCGGCAUCAGAAUCCUGUGGGGACCAAAAAAAAGUGAUGGAAAUGGGCAUUUUUUACUUUCAUGUUUAUAGUUUGUGACACAGAACCAUCUAAAUCCAUGAGAAAAUGCAUAAUUCACAAGCGGGUACAAACAUUAAAAAUAAUAACUAGGGGAGUACGCAGGAUUGGUCAGAAUACCUUUAGAAGUAGGUGGGAGAAAAGACACCUCUACUGUAAAAUUACUGCACCAUCUGAUUAAGAAUUUUGUCCUCAUCACGAAUGACCAACAGCACCUUCAUUAUUGAAAAUAAUUUUCAUCAUUCUUCUCGUGUUCAUUUCAUUUGAUUCUUUUGUCACUUUACUGUGUUAACAUUUUAAAUCAGCUGCCUAGAUCUCAAACGUCAACCCUGUAAUGUUAGCAGACAUCUGAUUUAGGUCUCCUGGAUAAUGGUUUGUGGAAAAGUUACAGUCAAAAGUUGUUGUUGUUGUUUUUUUUAAUGAUGUUCCAAUAAUGACAUUGAGAGUACACUCAGAUAACAUGUAAACAGUGUUUAGGUCUUAAUUACUGUAAAUCUAUAUAUAUUGGGAAGAUAGUGUACUCUUGAAACAUUUUCAUGGUGUUGGAAAGGAUUUCCUUAGUACUGUUUACUGGGCCUUACAAAAUAAUGCUCUUAUUACAUGAGAAAAUCAUAAUGAAUCAAUAUAGCAUGAGUAAGAGUGCUGUUCUUCUGAAUAAUGGCUGUAGGCAUGAAGCCACCAGUAAUCAGAGCUGUGCUGAUAUUCAGUAAAACAGCAUGAUUACGAGUGUGAUGUUGCUUUUAUACAACAGUUCUAUAAACAAGAAAUGAAUAUCCAGUACAUAACAUUUCAGACACAAUAUGGCCAAAUAUUUGUUUAUUUUUGUUCUGACAACAAAAAUAGUUCCAGAAGAAGCCACAGAUUGAUAGUGUUGAGUGUUGUCAUGUCAACGCACAAACUGACUGACAGCCCAUACUGUCAUAACAAACUACUGCUAGAAUUGAAAUUUUAUGUAGUGAAUACAGACAAGAGGAGUGAUACAAACAGUGGGUGUUUUUUUUUUAUGUGAUUUGAUUCUUUUUCUCUUCAUUCUGUGUAUUUUAAUCCUAGACCCUGAUGGAAGGUACAUGUUGCCUAAGACCACCUUCCUCAAGCUUCAUCAUGACUCUGGGCUUCAAGCAGAAAUGGGAUGGGAACUUCUUGAACAAAUUGCUCCACAGGAACUGUUCCACAUUUACAGGUUGGAUCGACCGUACUCUCACUAGUUUCAUUUGAAAGUGGUCACGGGGAAUCUGGAGCCUAUCCCAGGGAGCAUCGGGCACAAGCUUUCAGAAAGUAUGCAGCAGGAGAUGCUGAGAAAGACAUGACGUAAUGAACAGACUGGGAAUGUGGAGCUGCCUUUCCAGCAUGUUAUUGGGUCAGCUGAAAUGGCUCCAAGGGUGUCGCAGUGCCGCAGAGCUGUCAGCUCAGCACC
Ictalurus furcatus (blue catfish) is the source of this 1809-nucleotide long non-coding RNA. RefSeq lists it as uncharacterized. Lineage: Eukaryota; Metazoa; Chordata; Actinopteri; Siluriformes; Ictaluridae. The transcript has 3 exons. The record is from RefSeq and is a predicted model, not a curated record.